ACUUGCUGUGUGAUUCCUGCGUGUGUACUUGUCCUAGCACAGUAGCUGUGUGGAGAAACCGAAGUCACUACUGUUGUCUAUACUGUUUGGAUUUAACAUGUACAUAUGAUAGUUACUGUUGUCUCAGACCCUGAAAGGCAGUUUAGGCUGGGCCAGUGGAAUAGUUAAAUUUUGCCGUUUCACUCAAAACUACAGAAUUAAAACUGUGCUCCUCCGAGUACAGUCGGAGAAUAAAAAAGCCCACAAAAGAGUA
Maylandia zebra (zebra mbuna) is the source of this 253-nucleotide non-coding RNA. Lineage: Eukaryota; Metazoa; Chordata; Actinopteri; Cichliformes; Cichlidae. The record is from RefSeq and is a predicted model, not a curated record.